Ficedula albicollis (Collared flycatcher) is the source of this 368-nucleotide long non-coding RNA. RefSeq lists it as uncharacterized. The transcript has 3 exons. Lineage: Eukaryota; Metazoa; Chordata; Aves; Passeriformes; Muscicapidae. The record is from RefSeq and is a predicted model, not a curated record.
CAAAAUCAAAAUUGUACUUUUUUACUCACUGGCUUUUUUCUCUCUUUUUUCUUGUUUAAUUCUCACAGAAAUAGGGUUAAGAUACAAGAGAAGCUCUUCCAUCUUAAAUAACUUCCCACUGAAAGAUUACCACAAUAAAGAGAAUUAAACAUGUUAAAAUUAUAGUCUUGCUUACAACUACGUGAAAAGGCAGGUCUGUACUCCAUUUUGUUUCUUCAGUUCCCAUAAAAGCAACAUUGAAAAUAUGUUGCUUGAGUUUUUUGCCUGAGCAAUUGGUUUCUUUAGUCAGCCUGGAAUGUCGGGAGAGUUCCCAUCUGUUCAAUAAAUGUCUUAAGCCUCUGCAGUUAUUUGACCUUAACUAGUCUGUG